This 514-nucleotide ribosomal RNA is filed under the name uncultured microorganism. RNAcentral describes it as "bacterial SSU rRNA". It matches the Rfam family "Bacterial small subunit ribosomal RNA", at positions 9 to 521 of the family's 1533-position model. The record is from RNAcentral.
GAGUUUGAUCAUGGCUCAGGAUGAACGCUGGCGGCGUGCUUAACACAUGCAAGUCGAACGAAGCGCCUUAUUUGAUUUUCUUCGGAACUGAAGAUUUGGUGACUGAGUGGCGGACGGGUGAGUAACGCGUGGGGUAACCCGCCCUGUACAGGGGGAUAACAAUCAGAAAUGACUGCUAAUACCGCAUAAGACCACAGCACCGCAUGGUGCAGGGGUAAAAACUCCGGUGGUACAGGAUGGACCCGCGUCUGAUUAGCUGGUUGGUGAGGUAACGGCUCACCAAGGCGACGAUCAGUAGCCGGCUUGAGAGAGUGAACGGCCACAUUGGGACUGAGACACGGCCCAAACUCCUACGGGAGGCAGCAGUGGGGAAUAUUGCACAAUGGGGGAAACCCUGAUGCAGCAACGCCGCGUGAGUGAAGAAGUAUUUCGGUAUGUAAGCUCUAUCAGCAGGGAAGAAAGUGACGGUACCUGACUAAGAAGCCCCGGCUAACUACGUGCCAGCAGCCGCGGU